AACGUAGGAGGCGAGCGUUAUCCGGAUUCAUUGGGCGUAAAGGGCAAGUAGGCGGCAGCCAAAGUUGGUUGUGACAUCUCCCGGCUCAACUGGGAGGGAGCGGCCAAAACUAGGCAACUAGAGGGCAGAAGAGGGAAGCGGAAUUCCUAGUGUAGCGGUGGAAUGCUCAGAUAUUAGGAAGAACACCAGUGGCGAAGGCGGCUUUCUGGUCUGCACCUGACGCUGAGAGGCGAAAGCUAGGGGAGCGAACGGG
This 253-nucleotide ribosomal RNA is filed under the name uncultured bacterium. Its description in RNAcentral is "partial 16S ribosomal RNA". It matches the Rfam family "Bacterial small subunit ribosomal RNA", at positions 524 to 776 of the family's 1533-position model. The record is from RNAcentral.